This 337-nucleotide long non-coding RNA is filed under the name Gallus gallus (chicken). The record is from RNAcentral. Lineage: Eukaryota; Metazoa; Chordata; Aves; Galliformes; Phasianidae.
AGACGUUCCCCAGGAAUCUCUUCCCUAUGGGAAAAAGCAAAACCUGAGCUGAUCCAGCAAUUCCAGAGUGACAACGGCAGCAUAUGAAGCCCAUGCAAAAGCUCUGUGAUGAAUGGUUUGGAAGUGGUCUUCAUUGCCUAGAGACAAAAAUGGUGAAAAUGUGUUAGAGAUCACCUUCAGCUCUGCACAGGAUUUCUGCAAAAUACAACAGUACCAUUCUAUUUUUUUCCACAGGUAAGCCCUGCUAUCUUCCAUUCUCCCAUUCAAUCUUCUUCCCUAUAAUUGCUGCGGAAGGGGAAGAGGUGUGAGUGUAGGUGAUCCUGGACUGGGUGAAGGC